CACGGGCAGCUACCAUGCAGUCGAGGGGUAACAGGGUUGCUUGCAACCGCUGACGACCGGCGCACGGGUGCGUAACGCGUAUACAAUCUACCUUUUGCUAAGGGAUAGCCCAGAGAAAUUUGGAUUAAUACCUUAUGGUAUGUAUUUAUGGCAUCAUAGAUACAUUAAAGGUUACGGCAAAAGAUGAGUAUGCGUUCUAUUAGCUAGAUGGUAAGGUAACGGCUUACCAUGGCUACGAUAGAUAGGGGCCCUGAGAGGGGGAUCCCCCACACUGGUACUGAGACACGGACCAGACUCCUACGGGAGGCAGCAGUGAGGAAUAUUGGACAAUGGAGGGAACUCUGAUCCAGCCAUGCCGCGUGCAGGAAGACUGCCCUAUGGGUUGUAAACUGCUUUUAUACAAGAAGAAUAAGUCUCUCGUGAGGGACGAUGACGGUAUUGUAUGAAUAAGCACCGGCUAACUCCGUGCCAGCAGCCGCGGUAAUACGGAGGGUGCAAGCGUUAUCCGGAAUCAUUGGGUUUAAAGGGUCCGUAGGCGGAUUAAUAAGUCAGUGGUGAAAGUCUGCAGCUUAACUGUAGAAUUGCCAUUGAUACUGUUAGUCUUGAAUUAUUAUGAAGUAGUUAGAAUAUGUAGUGUAGCGGUGAAAUGCAUAGAUAUUACAUAGAAUACCGAUUGCGAAAGGCAGGCUACUAAUAAUAUAUUGACGCUGAUGGACGAAGCGUGGUAGCGAACAGGAUUAGAUACCCUGGUAGUCCACGCCGUAAACGAUGGUCACUAGCUGUUCGGACUUCGGUCUGAGUGCCUAAGCGAAAGUGAUAAGUGACCCACCUUGGGAGUACGUCGCAGAUGAACUCAAAGAUGGACGGGGCCCGCACAGGCGGUGGAGCAUGUGGUUUAUUCGAUUGAUACGCCGGAGGAAACCUUA
This 926-nucleotide ribosomal RNA is filed under the name marine bacterium CS-46. Its description in RNAcentral is "bacterial SSU rRNA". It matches the Rfam family "Bacterial small subunit ribosomal RNA", at positions 43 to 973 of the family's 1533-position model. The record is from RNAcentral.